ACCCCCUUUGGACAUCCGUGCGAACUUGGUAGAGAUACCUUGGUGCCUUCGGGAACGCACAGACAGGUGCUGCAUGGCUGUCGUCAGCUCGUGUUGUGAAAUGUUGGGUUAAGUCCCGUAACGAGCGCAACCCUUGUCCCUAUUUGCCAGCGAUUCGGUCGGGAACUCUAGGGAGACUGCCGGUGACAAACCGGAGGAAGGUGGGGACGACGUCAAGUCAUCAUGGCCCUUACGGGUAGGGCUACACACGUGCUACAAUGGCCGGUACAAAGGGUUGCGAAUCCGCGAGGUGGAGCUAAUCCCGAAAAGCCGGUCUCAGUCCGGAUCGGAGUCUGCAACUCGACUCCGUGAAGUCGGAAUCGCUAGUAAUCGUGCAUCAGAAUGGCACGGUGAAUACGUUCCCGGGUCUUGUACACACCG
RNAcentral lists this ribosomal RNA (420 nucleotides) under Halomonas sp. enrichment culture clone TTGE_FP_159. RNAcentral's name for it is "bacterial SSU rRNA". It matches the Rfam family "Bacterial small subunit ribosomal RNA", at positions 973 to 1392 of the family's 1533-position model. The record is from RNAcentral. Lineage: Bacteria; Pseudomonadati; Pseudomonadota; Gammaproteobacteria; Oceanospirillales; Halomonadaceae.